GAUGAACGCUGGCUGCGUGCCUAAUACAUGCAAGUCGAGCGAACGGACGAUCUUCUUUUUUCUCUGAUGUUAGCGGCGGACGGGUGAGUGACACGUGGGUAACCUACCUAUAAUACUGUGAUGACUUCGGGAAACCGGAGCUAAUACCUGAUAAUAGUUUUAACCGCAUGGUUCGAUAGUGAAAUACGGUGUUUUUGUCUCGUCUAGAUGGAUGCGCGCUGCUUUAGAUAGUUGGUAAGGUAACGGCUUACCAAGGCAACGAUGCAUAGCCGACGUGAGAGGGUGAUAGGCCACACUGGAACUGAGACACGGUCCAGUCUCAUACGGGAGGCAGCAGUAGGGAAUCUUCCGCAAUGGGAGAAAGCCUGACGGAGCAACGCCGAGUGAGUGAUGAAGGUAUUCGGAUAGUAAAACUCUGUUAUUAGGGAAGAACAUAUGUGUAAGUAACUGUGCACAUCUUGACGGUACCUAAUCAGAAAGCCACGGCUAACUACGUG
This 497-nucleotide ribosomal RNA is filed under the name uncultured bacterium. Its description in RNAcentral is "partial 16S ribosomal RNA". It matches the Rfam family "Bacterial small subunit ribosomal RNA", at positions 28 to 507 of the family's 1533-position model. The record is from RNAcentral.